GCCACCAUUUAAAGAGUGCGUAAUAGCUCACUGGUCGAGAGACCCUGCGCCGAAGAUUACCGGGGCUAAAGUACGGAACCGAAGCUGUGGCUGUGUACGAAAGUACACGGGGUAGGGGAGCGUUCCCAUAGGGCUGAAGUCGUUCUGUAAGGAACGGUGGACUUAUGGGAAGUGAGAAUGUUGGUAUGAGUAGCGAAAAGAAAGGUGAGAAUCCUUUCCACCGAAAGCAUAAGGAUUCCUGGGCAACGAUCGUCGUCCCAGGGUAAGUCGGGACCUAAUCCGAGGCAAAGAGCGUAGGAGAUGGACAACUGGUUGAUAUUCCAGUACCGGCAGUGAUCGUUUGAGCGAUGGAGUGACACAGGAGGGUAGGCAGGCAGGAGAUUGGUUGUUCCUGUACAAGCGUGUAGGAUGGGUUAUAGGCAAAUCCGUAACCUGAAAGUCCGAGGCGUGAUGUGUAGUUUCCGCAUGGAGACGAAGCUGUUGACCCCACACUGUCGAGAAAAGCUUCUAGUGAGAGAUCUGCCGCCCGUACCGUAAACCGACACAGGUAUGCGGGGAGAGAAUCCUAAGGUGCGCGGGAGAACCCUCGUUAAGGAACUCGGCAAAAUGUACCCGUAACUUCGGGAUAAGGGUAGCCGCCAGUGUGAAGGAACUUGCUUCCGGAGCAUAGCGCGGUCGCAGAGAAGAGGCCCAAGCGACUGUUUACCACAAACUUAGGUGCCUGCUAAAGAGAAAUCUGACGUAUAGGUGCUGACACCUGCCCAGUGCCGGAAGGUUAAGGAAGGAUGUCCGGAGCAAUCCAAAGCAUUCGACCGAAGCCCCGGUGAACGGCGGCCGUAACUAUAACGGUCCUAAGGUAGCGAAAUUCCUUGUCGGGUAAGUUCCGACCCGCACGAAAGGUGUAACGAUUUGGGCACUGUCUCAACGAGGGACCCGGUGAAAUUGAAGUACCUGUGAAGAUGCAGGUUACCCGCGACUGGACAGAAAGACCCCAUGGAGCUUUACUGUAACCUGACAUUGGGUUCUGAUACAUCACGUACAGGAUAGGUGGGAGGCUUGGAAGCCGGGACGCUAGUCUCGGUGGAGCCGCCGUUGGGAUACCACCCUUGAUGUAUCGGAAUUCUAACCGUAGUAGUAACGACACUCGGGACAGUGUCAGGCGGGCAGUUUGACUGGGGCGGUCGCC
RNAcentral lists this ribosomal RNA (1186 nucleotides) under human gut metagenome. Its description in RNAcentral is "bacterial LSU rRNA". It matches the Rfam family "Bacterial large subunit ribosomal RNA", at positions 1115 to 2287 of the family's 2925-position model. The record is from RNAcentral.